This 381-nucleotide ribosomal RNA is filed under the name uncultured bacterium. RNAcentral describes it as "bacterial SSU rRNA". It matches the Rfam family "Bacterial small subunit ribosomal RNA", at positions 132 to 507 of the family's 1533-position model. The record is from RNAcentral.
ACGGUUUGGGGAAUUAACCUUGACGAAAGUAAGACUAAUACCCAAUGAUAUCUCUAGAAGACAUCUGAAAGAGAUUAAAGAUUUAUCGGUGAUGGAUGGGGAUGCGUCUGAUUAGCUUGUUGGCGGGGUAACGGCCCACCAAGGCGACGAUCAGUAGGGGUUCUGAGAGGAAGGUCCCCCACAUUGGAACUGAGACACGGUCCAAACUCCUACGGGAGGCAGCAGUGAGGAAUAUUGGUCAAUGGGCGAGAGCCUGAACCAGCCAAGUAGCGUGCAGGACGACGGCCCUAUGGGUUGUAAACUGCUUUUAUAAGGGAAUAAAGUGAGUCUCGUGAGACUUUUUGUCAUGUACCUUAUGAAUAAGGACCGGCUAAUUCCGUG